UUUGUUCCUCAGUGCAAGAUGACCCAUCUCAGGAAGGCAGAUUAGGAAAUGACAGUGUUCUAAAUGAUGGGCAGGCCAACAAACACACCUUGAAACCAGUGGCUUCCCUCAGAUGAGUGGAGGGACACACGUGUGCAUUGUUUACACCUCCUAGUACUGAGAGGAAAGGUUUUAACCCAAGAUCUACAAUCUUGUGUAAUAGUGUCAACCUCAAGAAACAGAUGCAACAGUUAAGCCACAGUCAUAGAUGAGGGGUGGAGGAGCUGGUUCAGUCUUGGGUUCAUCUGUGGUGAGUGAGGAUAACUGGGCCAGUGACACUGCCUCCACAAAUUGCCAAGCAGGAACCAUGGAUGUGCUAGGACACAUCAUUUCUACCCCUGAAAGGAGCUGGGGAGAGACUUGCCCAGGGUUCCCUGAAUCUCUGAGGAAGGAGCCAGGCUGCUUGUGCAGAGGACAAUGCUGCUGCCUGCUCUGCUCCUGGCCAGGGACGGCCCCACCUGUCCUUAAGCUAAUUAAAAUUUCUGCUCAUAGCAGUGUGGGUUUUGACAAGGUCAUAAAUCAGUCAUUGUCCUAGGAAUAUGAACUGCCAUAAUUGUACGUUUUCUAAAUAUGAACUAAUGACUUAAUGACUAUUCCAGCUGUUGGACACACAAUGAAUAAAGAGUUGGACACACAAAAACAGUGUGAAAAAUGUCUUUUCCCCCAGAGACUCCUUCAGACGCUGAGUUCAGCCUCAUUCAUGCUGGUGUCUCAGACUUUGGGGACCAACAUGACUGAACCCCCGCCUCAGACAGGGGUCUCUGUCACCUGCCCACCUCCUGCCUGCCUGGAACCCAACACCUUCCCUCCCGCUCCUGCCCCCCUCCUCAGAAGCAGAUGAGUCAAUCUCCGUUUCCAAGCCCAAACACACAGGACUUGGUCUCCACUCCAAACGCCAG
This 938-nucleotide long non-coding RNA is filed under the name Corvus moneduloides (New Caledonian crow). RNAcentral's name for it is "lncRNA (ENSCMUG00000019667.1)". The record is from RNAcentral. Lineage: Eukaryota; Metazoa; Chordata; Aves; Passeriformes; Corvidae.